AUUGAACGCUGGCGGCAUGCCUUACACAUGCAAGUCGAACGGUAACGCGGGGCAACCUGGCGACGAGUGGCGAACGGGUGAGUAAUACAUCGGAACGUGCCCAGUAGUGGGGGAUAGCCCGGCGAAAGCCGGAUUAAUACCGCAUACGACCUACGGGUGAAAGCGGGGGAUCGCAAGACCUCGCGCUAUUGGAGCGGCCGAUGGCAGAUUAGGUUGUUGGUGGGGUAAAAGCCUACCAAGCCGACGAUCUGUAGCUGGUCUGAGAGGACGACCAGCCACACUGGGACUGAGACACGGCCCAGACUCCUACGGGAGGCAGCAGUGGGGAAUUUUGGACAAUGGGCGCAAGCCUGAUCCAGCAAUGCCGCGUGCGGGAAGAAGGCCUUCGGGUUGUAAACCGCUUUUGUCAGGGAAGAAAUCUCUUGGGCU
This 429-nucleotide ribosomal RNA is filed under the name uncultured bacterium. RNAcentral's name for it is "bacterial SSU rRNA". It matches the Rfam family "Bacterial small subunit ribosomal RNA", at positions 29 to 461 of the family's 1533-position model. The record is from RNAcentral.